UGGCUCAGGACACGCUGGCGGCGUGCCUAACACAUGCAAGUCGAGCGGGGACAUGGAGGAGCUUGCUCCGAAGUGUUCUAGCGGCGGACGGGUGAGUAACGCGUGAGCAAUCUGUCCUGUACAGGGGGAUAACAGAUGGAAACAUCUGCUAAUACCGCAUGAGACCACAGAAUCGCAUGGUUCAGGGGUCAAAGGAGAAAUCCGGUACAGGGUGAGCUCGCGUCUGAUUAGCUAGUUGGUGAGGUAACGGCCCGCCAUGGCGACGAUCAGUAGCCGGUCUGAGAGGAUGAACGGCCACAUUGGGACUGAGAUACGGCCCAGACUCCUACGGGAGGCAGCAGUGGGGAAUAUUGGGCAAUGGGCGCAAGCCUGACCCAGCAACGCCGCGUGAAGGAAGAAGGCUUUCGGGUUGUAAACUUCUUUUACCAGGGACGAAGAACGUGACGGUACCUGGAGAAAAAGCCACGGCUAACUACGUG
This 479-nucleotide ribosomal RNA is filed under the name uncultured bacterium. RNAcentral describes it as "bacterial SSU rRNA". It matches the Rfam family "Bacterial small subunit ribosomal RNA", at positions 20 to 507 of the family's 1533-position model. The record is from RNAcentral.